This 517-nucleotide ribosomal RNA is filed under the name uncultured bacterium. RNAcentral describes it as "bacterial SSU rRNA". It matches the Rfam family "Bacterial small subunit ribosomal RNA", at positions 110 to 660 of the family's 1533-position model. The record is from RNAcentral.
GUAACACGUGGAUCAUCUGCCUUUUAGUGGGGAAUACCGCUGGGAAACCGGCGACAAUACCGCAUAAUCUCGAGAGAGGAAAGCCGAAAGGCGCUGAAAGAGGAGUCCGCGGUCGAUUAGCUAGUUGGUGAGGUAAUGGCUCACCAAGGCUGUGAUCGAUAGCCGGCCUGAGAGGGCACACGGCACACUGGCACUGAAACACGGGCCAGACUCCUACGGGAGGCAGCAGUGGGGAAUCUUGCACAAUGGGGGAAACCCUGACGCAGCAACGCCGCGUGGAGGAUGAAAUCCCUUGGGAUGUAAACUCCUUUCGAUCGGGACGAUUAUGACGGUACCGGAAGAAGAAGCCCCGGCUAACUACGUGCCAGCAGCCGCGGUAAGACGUAGGGGGCCAGCGUUGCUCGGAAUUACUGGGUGUAAAGGGUUCGUAGCGGUGCGGCAAGUUGGGAGUGAAAUCUCUGGGCUCAACCCAGGAGGCUGCUUCCAAAACUGCUGUGCUUGAGUGUGGGAGAGGCGC